CCCGCUGAACUUAAGCAUAUCAAUAAGCGGAGGAAAAGAAACUAACAAGGAUUCCCCUAGUAACUGCGAGUGAAGCGGGAAAAGCUCAAAUUUAAAAUCUGGUGGCCUUUGGCCAUCCGAGUUGUAAUUUAGAGAAGCGUCUUCCGCGCUGGACCGUGCACAAGUCUCCUGGAAUGGAGCGUCGUAGAGGGUGAGAAUCCCGUCUUUGGCACGGACGCCCAGUGCUUCUGUGAUGCGCUCUCGAAGAGUCGAGUUGUUUGGGAAUGCAGCUCAAAAUGGGUGGUGAACUCCAUCUAAAGCUAAAUAUUGGCGAGAGACCGAUAGCGAACAAGUACCGUGAGGGAAAGAUGAAAAGCACUUUGGAAAGAGAGUUAAACAGUACGUGAAAUUGUUGAAAGGGAAACGCUUGGAGUCAGUCGCGUUUGUUAGAACUCAGCUUGGCUUCUGCUUAGUGUACUUUCUAAUGAACGGGCCAACAUCGAUUUCAGUCAGUGGAUAAGGGUAAGAGGAAUGUGGCACCUUCGGGUGUGUUAUAGCCUCUUAUCGUAUACAUUUACUGGGAUCGAGGUCUGCAGCACUUGUGCUUAGGAUGUUGGCAUAAUGGCUUUAAUCGACCCGUCUUGAAACACGG
Molecule: ribosomal RNA, 631 nt
Filed under: uncultured fungus
Lineage: Eukaryota; Fungi
Description: eukaryotic LSU rRNA
Rfam family: Eukaryotic large subunit ribosomal RNA
Source: RNAcentral